UACGAAGGGGGCUAGCGUUGCUCGGAAUCACUGGGCGUAAAGCGCACGUAGGCGGCUUUUUAAGUCAGGGGUGAAAUCCUGGAGCUCAACUCCAGAACUGCCUUUGAUACUGAGAAGCUUGAGUCCGGGAGAGGUGAGUGGAACUGCGAGUGUAGAGGUGAAAUUCGUAGAUAUUCGCAAGAACACCAGUGGCGAAGGCGGCUCACUGGCCCGGUACUGACGCUGGGGUGCGAAAGCGUGGGGAGCAAACAGG
This 253-nucleotide ribosomal RNA is filed under the name uncultured bacterium. RNAcentral describes it as "partial 16S ribosomal RNA". It matches the Rfam family "Bacterial small subunit ribosomal RNA", at positions 524 to 776 of the family's 1533-position model. The record is from RNAcentral.